This 378-nucleotide unclassified non-coding RNA is filed under the name plant metagenome. RNAcentral describes it as "partial contains 5.8S ribosomal RNA, internal transcribed spacer 2, and large subunit ribosomal RNA". The stretch from base 1 to 105 matches the Rfam family "5.8S ribosomal RNA", at positions 50 to 154 of the family's 154-position model. The record is from RNAcentral.
GAGAUGCGAUAAGUAAUGUGAAUUGCAGAAUUCAGUGAAUCAUCGAAUCUUUGAACGCACCUUGCGCUCCUUGGUAUUCCUUGGAGCAUGCCUGUUUGAGUAUCAUGAAAUCUUCAAAGUAAAUCUUUUGUUAACUCAAUUGGUUUCUACUUUGGUAUUGGAGGUCUUUGCAGCUUCACACCUGCUCCUCUUUGUUCAUUAGCUGGAUCUCAGUGUUAUGCUUGGUUCCACUCGGCGUGAUAAGUUAUCUAUCGCUGAGGACACUGUAAAAGGUGGCCAAGGUAAAUGCAGAUGAACCGCUUCUAAUAGUCCAUUGACUUGGACAAUACUUUUAUGAUCUGAUCUCAAAUCAGCUAGGACUACCUGCUGAACUUAAGC